GAUCAUGGCUCAGGACGAACGCUGGCGGCGUGCUUAACACAUGCAAGUCGAACGAGAAUCUGCGGAACGAGGAUUCGUCCAAGUGAAGCAGAGGACAGUGGCGGACGGGUGAGUAACGCGUGAGGAACCUGCCUUUCAGAGGGGGACAACAGUUGGAAACGACUGCUAAUACCGCAUAACACAUGGGUGUCGCAUGGCACUGAUGUCAAAGAUUUAUCGCUGAAAGA
RNAcentral lists this ribosomal RNA (227 nucleotides) under uncultured bacterium. RNAcentral's name for it is "partial 16S ribosomal RNA". It matches the Rfam family "Bacterial small subunit ribosomal RNA", at positions 15 to 225 of the family's 1533-position model. The record is from RNAcentral.